UCUCAGUCGGUAAAGAAUCUGCUUGCAAUGCAGGAGACCCGGGUUCGAUUCCUGG
RNAcentral lists this transfer RNA (55 nucleotides) under Bos taurus (domestic cattle). It matches the Rfam family "tRNA", at positions 10 to 63 of the family's 71-position model. Rfam says of the family: Transfer RNA (tRNA) molecules are approximately 80 nucleotides in length. The record is from Rfam by way of RNAcentral. Lineage: Eukaryota; Metazoa; Chordata; Mammalia; Artiodactyla; Bovidae.